UACAGAGGGGGCAAGCGUUGUUCGGAAUUACUGGGCGUAAAGGGUGCGUAGGCGGCCUUCUAAGUCGGACGUGAAAUCCCUGGGCUCAACCCAGGAACUGCGUCCGAUACUGGUUGGCUUGAAUCCGGGAGAGGGACGUGGAAUUCCAGGUGUAGCGGUGAAAUGCGUAGAUAUCUGGAGGAACACCGGUGGCGAAGGCGACGUCCUGGACCGGCAUUGACGCUGAGGUGCGAAAGCCAGGGGAGCAAACGGG
Molecule: ribosomal RNA, 253 nt
Filed under: uncultured bacterium
Lineage: Bacteria
Description: partial 16S ribosomal RNA
Rfam family: Bacterial small subunit ribosomal RNA
Source: RNAcentral